UACGUAGGGGGCAAGCGUCAUCCGGAUUUACUGGGUGUAAAGGGAGCGUAGACGGCUUUGCAAGCCAGAUGUGAAAGCCCGGGGCUCAACCCCGGGACUGCAUUUGGAACUGUGUGGCUAGAGUGUCGGAGAGGCAGGCGGAAUUCCUAGUGUAGCGGUGAAAUGCGUAGAUAUUAGGAGGAACACCAGUGGCGAAGGCGGCCUGCUGGACGAUGACUGACGUUGAGGCUCGAAAGCGUGGGGAGCAAACAGG
Molecule: ribosomal RNA, 253 nt
Filed under: uncultured bacterium
Lineage: Bacteria
Description: partial 16S ribosomal RNA
Rfam family: Bacterial small subunit ribosomal RNA
Source: RNAcentral